This is a long non-coding RNA of Ruditapes philippinarum (Manila clam), 279 nucleotides long. RefSeq lists it as uncharacterized. Lineage: Eukaryota; Metazoa; Mollusca; Bivalvia; Venerida; Veneridae. The record is from RefSeq and is a predicted model, not a curated record. The transcript has 3 exons.
CGUUUAUGUGCCUAUCGGUGCAAGCUUUUCAGUGACUGUGAUAAUGAAAUCGCGUUGCCAGACGAUUGAAGUUUUAAGGAGGGUAAAUUUGAAGAGAAGAGACUUUUAUUUCAAAGAUGGAAUCUCUAACUUUUAGUCUUAAAGAUGUGCAAAAAGCAAAAUGCAAUUUAGAGAGUCGCCUCAAUGAAAAAAGACGGAUGAGAAAGAAUAUUGAAAAUGUUUUAGAGACAGUGAAUUCAAAGCUAACACAGAUUACAAACAUCCACACUAAAAUGACAG